GACGAACGCUGGCGGCGUGCUUAACACAUGCAAGUCGAACGGAAAGGCCCUGCUUUUGUGGGGUGCUCGAGUGGCGAACGGGUGAGUAACACGUGAGUAACCUGCCCUUGACUUUGGGAUAACUUCAGGAAACUGGGGCUAAUACCGGAUAGGAGCUCCUGCUGCAUGGUGGGGGUUGGAAAGUUUCGGCGGCUGGGGAUGGACUCGCGGCUUAUCAGCUUGUUGGUGGGGUAGUGGCUUACCAAGGCUUUGACGGGUAGCCGGCCUGAGAGGGUGACCGGCGACAUUGGGACUGAGAGACGGCCCAGACUCCUACGGGAGGCAGCAGUGGGGAAUAUUGCACGAUGGGCGGAAGCCUGAUGCAGCAACGCCGCGUGCGGGAUGACGGCCUUCGGGUUGUAAACCGCUUUCGCCUGUGACGAAGCGUGAGUGACGGUAAUGGGUAAAGAAGCACCGGCUAACUACGUG
This 468-nucleotide ribosomal RNA is filed under the name uncultured bacterium. RNAcentral describes it as "partial 16S ribosomal RNA". It matches the Rfam family "Bacterial small subunit ribosomal RNA", at positions 28 to 507 of the family's 1533-position model. The record is from RNAcentral.